GGCUCGGUGGUGGAUGGUCCAUACCUGCAUUCUUUGGUUUAUUUCUGUCAAAAUACGCAGGAAGAGCCCGUUCGAUUCGGGCCUGAGCCA
Non-coding RNA from Mycena epipterygia, 90 nucleotides. The record is from the annotation of a GenBank genome assembly. Lineage: Eukaryota; Fungi; Basidiomycota; Agaricomycetes; Agaricales; Mycenaceae.